UUCAUCACUGAACGAAGUGGUGAAAAGAAUACAACGACGACGAACUAUUAAUUCAUUUUUCACGAUCUUUUGCAUUUUGCUUUGAUUCCCAGCUAAAACAAAUUCGUAAAGUUUCUCCUUAACGCUAUACCGCACAAUUUACGCUUAAAGGCAAUACAGUAAUUAGUGUUGUGAUUAUUUAUUAUACAUUCAAAGCGAGUGACGCACAAAAUUCAUAACAGCAAAAUUGGAAAAUAUGGAGACCCCAAAUGAUAUAGCCGCACCAUCUGGAUCAACCGAUUUUCCUGUUUUACCCCCGCCUCCAAACUCUGCAACUCCCAGCAAUAAUAAUCAAGCGCAGAAGCGGUUGCAACAAACCCAAGCCAAGGUCGAUGAAGUGGUCGGCAUUAUGCGAGUGAAUGUAGAGAAAGUGCUGGAGCGCGAUCAGAAACUGUCGGAAUUGGGUGAGAGAGCCGAUGCGUUGGAGGCUGGCGCCUCGCAAUUCGAGCAACAAGCUGGCAAAUUGAAGCGCAAACAAUGGUGGGCCAACAUGAAAAUGAUGAUUAUUAUGGGCGUGAUCGGAGUGGUUCUCUUAAUUAUCAUAAUCGUUAUGCUAUUUAAUUAAUUGCCACCAGUUUUCAAAGUCUUAUAAUCAGCAUUUUAAGUAAUAUGCAUAAAUAUACAUAUGUUCGUUAUAAGUGUGCGUAUGUGUGUGUACUGCUUUCAGUUUCUAUAAUUUUUAAUAUAAAAAAGUAGAGAAAGGUUCAGGUUUACCCAGCACAAUACGUCCGUAAGCCAUUUUCUUCAAUGUUUUCCUUCCUGCCAUCCAGUGGCAGCAGCUCCAAUACAAACAACGAAAUCCAAAACACUUCUUCAAAACCUUAAAUAAGCUCAGGUGACCGCAGUGGCCUUACGGUUCAUAAUUGUUUUGGUUGAACGUCGCUGAAUUCGUAAUUUUCAAGCACAAAAUGCCAGCACACUUUCAAUAUGCAUUGAACCGUUUUUGAGAUGUCUUAAAUCAGUAUACACUUAACUAUAUAUACAACUAAUUUACAAAAUGUAUGCCUUACAUAUUUAACUGAUAAUUGAAUGAAAUUGGAAUUGGAAUUGUAAAAAAUGUA
Anastrepha ludens (Mexican fruit fly) is the source of this 1100-nucleotide RNA transcript. It is a transcript of the gene named synaptobrevin, with no coding region annotated. Lineage: Eukaryota; Metazoa; Arthropoda; Insecta; Diptera; Tephritidae. The transcript has 5 exons. The record is from RefSeq and is a predicted model, not a curated record.